RNAcentral lists this non-coding RNA (21 nucleotides) under Caenorhabditis elegans. Lineage: Eukaryota; Metazoa; Nematoda; Chromadorea; Rhabditida; Rhabditidae. The record is from RNAcentral.
UUUUUUCUUACCAAGAAAUUA